CCUACGGGAGGCAGCAGUGAGGAAUAUUGGUCAAUGGACGAGAGUCUGAACCAGCCAAGUAGCGUGAAGGAUGACUGCCCUAUGGGUUGUAAACUUCUUUUAUAUGGGAAUAAAAUUUUCCACGUGUGGGAUUUUGUAUGUACCAUAUGAAUAAGGAUCGGCUAACUCCGUGCCAGCAGCCGCGGUAAUACGGAGGAUCCGAGCGUUAUCCGGCUUUAUUGGGUUUAAAGGGAGCGUAGGUGGAUUGUUAAGUCAGUUGUGAAAGUUUGCGGCUCAACCGUAAAAUUGCAGUUGAUACUGGCAGUCUUGAGUACAGUAGAGGUGGGCGGAAUGCGUGGUGUAGCGGUGAAAUGCUUAGAUAUCACGAAGAACUCCGAUUGCGAAGGCAGUUCACUGGACUGCAACUGACACUGAGGCUCGAAAGUGUGGGUAUCAAACAGGAUUAGAUACCCGAGUAGUC
This 460-nucleotide ribosomal RNA is filed under the name uncultured bacterium. Its description in RNAcentral is "partial 16S ribosomal RNA". It matches the Rfam family "Bacterial small subunit ribosomal RNA", at positions 338 to 795 of the family's 1533-position model. The record is from RNAcentral.